AAAUUGAAGAGUUUGAUCAUGGCUCAGAUUGAACGCUGGCGGCAGGCCUAACACAUGCAAGUCGAACGGUAACAGGAAACAGCUUGCUGUUUCGCUGACGAGUGGCGGACGGGUGAGUAAUGUCUGGGAAACUGCCUGAUGGAGGGGGAUAACUACUGGAAACGGUAGCUAAUACCGCAUAACGUCGCAAGACCAAAGAGGGGGACCUUCGGGCCUCUUGCCAUCGGAUGUGCCCAGAUGGGAUUAGCUAGUAGGUGGGGUAACGGCUCACCUAGGCGACGAUCCCUAGCUGGUCUGAGAGGAUGACCAGCCACACUGGAACUGAGACACGGUCCAGACUCCUACGGGAGGCAGCAGUGGGGAAUAUUGCACAAUGGGCGCAAGCCUGAUGCAGCCAUGCCGCGUGUAUGAAGAAGGCCUUCGGGUUGUAAAGUACUUUCAGUGGGGAGGAAGGGAGUAAAGUUAAUACCUUUGCUCAUUGACGUUACCCGCAGAAGAAGCACCGGCUAACUCCGUGCCAGCAGCCGCGGUAAUACGGAGGG
This 542-nucleotide ribosomal RNA is filed under the name Escherichia coli. Its description in RNAcentral is "bacterial SSU rRNA". It matches the Rfam family "Bacterial small subunit ribosomal RNA", at positions 1 to 532 of the family's 1533-position model. The record is from RNAcentral. Lineage: Bacteria; Pseudomonadati; Pseudomonadota; Gammaproteobacteria; Enterobacterales; Enterobacteriaceae.